Molecule: ribosomal RNA, 116 nt
Filed under: Sinocyclocheilus grahami
Lineage: Eukaryota; Metazoa; Chordata; Actinopteri; Cypriniformes; Cyprinidae
Source: RNAcentral
GUCGGCAGCUAUCACUCUGCCACUCUCAUCUGGUUGCCCACUGAAGCUAAGCAGGGUUGAGCCUGGUCAGUACCUGGAUGGGAGAUCUCCUGGGGAAAACUAGGUUGCUGCUGGAA